Molecule: transfer RNA, 74 nt
Filed under: Heterocephalus glaber (naked mole-rat)
Lineage: Eukaryota; Metazoa; Chordata; Mammalia; Rodentia; Bathyergidae
Rfam family: tRNA
About the family: Transfer RNA (tRNA) molecules are approximately 80 nucleotides in length.
Source: Rfam by way of RNAcentral
GGGGAUGUAGCUCAGUGGUAGAGCACUUGCCUAGCAUUGUGGCAAGGUCUUGGGUUUGAUCCUCAGUACUGCCA